This 228-nucleotide unclassified non-coding RNA is filed under the name uncultured Russula. Its description in RNAcentral is "sequence contains ITS2". The record is from RNAcentral. Lineage: Eukaryota; Fungi; Basidiomycota; Agaricomycetes; Russulales; Russulaceae.
AAUUCUCAAACCCUCUUGGUUUCUUGAUCAAGAUGGCUUUGGACUUUGGAGGUGUUUUGCUGGCUUUAUGAAAAGCCAGCUCCUCUUAAAUACAUUAGUGGGAUCCCCUUUGCCGAUCCCCAGGCGUGAUAAGAUGUUUCUACGUCUUGGGAUUUGCUCUGUUCUUUGGGAACCUGCUUCUAACCGUCUCAUGGGAGACAUCGUUCGAGUUUGCUCGACCCACGAACC